This 279-nucleotide ribosomal RNA is filed under the name Symbiodinium sp. clade D. RNAcentral's name for it is "partial Bacterial small subunit ribosomal RNA". It matches the Rfam family "Bacterial small subunit ribosomal RNA", at positions 1071 to 1349 of the family's 1533-position model. The record is from RNAcentral. Lineage: Eukaryota; Dinophyceae; Suessiales; Symbiodiniaceae.
GGUGUUGGGUUAAGUCCCGCAACGAGCGCAACCCCUAUUCUUAGUUGCCAGCAUGUAAUGGUGGGGACUCUAGGAAGACUGCCUGCGCAAGCAGAGAGGAAGGAGGGGAUGACGUCAAGUCAUCAUGGCCCUUAUGUCCUGGGCUACACACGUGCUACAAUGGCCGGUACAAAGUGAAGCGAAACCGCGAGGUGAAGCGAAUCGCAAAAAACCGGUCUCAGUUCGGAUUGGAGUCUGAAACUCGACUCCAUGAAGGUGGAAUCGCUAGUAAUCGCGCAU